Jaculus jaculus (lesser Egyptian jerboa) is the source of this 137-nucleotide small nucleolar RNA. The record is from Ensembl. Lineage: Eukaryota; Metazoa; Chordata; Mammalia; Rodentia; Dipodidae.
AGCACUAUAUUUAAACCUGUGGAUGGGAAUUUUCCCCAUCCUUGGUUACGCUGUAGUGCAAAAGAAUUCCUGGCUCUUCCUGUUGCACAGCUGACUUCUACCAUUUUGCUGUUGCUUUAAGGAGUUAAGGAACAUGA